GUUGAACGCUGGCGGCGUGCCUAAUACAUGCAAGUCGAGCGAACGCACGAGUAGCUUUGUCCUCUGAUGGUAGCGGCGGACGGGUGAGUAACACACGGAUACCCUCCCUAUAAGACUGGGAGAAAAACGGGAAACCGUAGCUCAUACCGGCUAAUGAUUUGAACCGCAUGGUUCAAAACUGAAAGACGGUCUUGCGGCCGAUUAUAGAUGGAUCCGCGCUGCAUUAGCUAGUUGGUAAGGUAAAGGCUUACCAAGGCAACGAUGCAUAGCCGACCUGAGAGGAUGAUCGGCCACACUGGGACUGAGACACGGCCCAGACUCCUACGGGAGGCAGCAGUAGGGAAUCUUGCGCAAUGGGCGCAAGCCUGACGCAGCCAUGCCGCGUGAGUGAUGAAGGUCUUCGGGUCGUAAAACUCUUUUAUUCGGGAAGAACAUAUGUGUUAUUAACUGUGCACGUCAUGACGGUACCGAAUGAAUAAGCCCCGGCUAACUACGUG
RNAcentral lists this ribosomal RNA (497 nucleotides) under uncultured bacterium. Its description in RNAcentral is "partial 16S ribosomal RNA". It matches the Rfam family "Bacterial small subunit ribosomal RNA", at positions 28 to 507 of the family's 1533-position model. The record is from RNAcentral.